RNAcentral lists this ribosomal RNA (254 nucleotides) under uncultured bacterium. RNAcentral describes it as "partial 16S ribosomal RNA". It matches the Rfam family "Bacterial small subunit ribosomal RNA", at positions 524 to 776 of the family's 1533-position model. The record is from RNAcentral.
UACGUAGGGUCCGAGCGUUGUCCGGAAUUAUUGGGCGUAAAGGGCUCGUAGGCGGUCCGUCACGUCGGGAGUGAAAACUCAGGGCUCAACCCUGAGCGUGCUUCCGAUACGGGCGGACUAGAGGUAUGCAGGGGAGAACGGAAUUCCUGGUGUAGCGGUGGAAUGCGCAGAUAUCAGGAGGAACACCGGUGGCGAAGGCGGGUUGCUAGGCUGACACUGACGCUGAGUGCGCGAAAGCCAGGGGAGCAAACGGG